CGUAGGGUGCAAGCGUUAAUCGGAAUUACUGGGCGUAAAGCGUGCGCAGGCGGUUUUAUAAGUCUGAUGUGAAAUCCCCGGGCUCAACCUGGGAACUGCAUUGGAGACUGUAAGGCUAGAGUGUGUCAGAGGGGGGUAGAAUUCCACGUGUAGCAGUGAAAUGCGUAGAUAUGUGGAGGAAUACCGAUGGCGAAGGCAGCCCCCCUGGGAUAACACUGACGCUCAUGCACGAAAGCGUGGGGAGCAAACAGGAUUAGAUACCCUGGUAGUCCACGCCCUAAACGAUGUCUACUAGUUGUCGGGUCUUAAUUGACUUGGUAACGCAGCUAACGCGUGAAGUAGACCGCCUGGGGAGUACGGUCGCAAGAUUA
RNAcentral lists this ribosomal RNA (371 nucleotides) under uncultured organism. RNAcentral's name for it is "bacterial SSU rRNA". It matches the Rfam family "Bacterial small subunit ribosomal RNA", at positions 526 to 896 of the family's 1533-position model. The record is from RNAcentral.